ACAUGCAAGUCGAGCGAACGGACGAGAAGCUUGCUUCUCUGAUGUUAGCGGCGGACGGGUGAGUAACACGUGGAUAACCUACCUAUAAGACUGGGAUAACUUCGGGAAACCGGAGCUAAUACCGGAUAAUAUUUUGAACCGCAUGGUUCAAAAGUGAAAGACGGUCUUGCUGUCACUUAUAGAUGGAUCCGCGCUGCAUUAGCUAGUUGGUAAGGUAACGGCUUACCAAGGCAACGAUGCAUAGCCGACCUGAGAGGGUGAUCGGCCACACUGGAACUGAGACACGGUCCAGACUCCUACGGGAGGCAGCAGUAGGGAAUCUUCCGCAAUGGGCGAAAGCCUGACGGAGCAACGCCGCGUGAGUGAUGAAGGUCUUCGGAUCGUAAAACUCUGUUAUUAGGGAAGAACAUAUGUGUAAGUAACUGUGCACAUCUUGACGGUACCUAAUCAGAAAGCCACGGCUAACUACGUGCCAGCAGCCG
RNAcentral lists this ribosomal RNA (482 nucleotides) under Staphylococcus aureus. RNAcentral describes it as "bacterial SSU rRNA". It matches the Rfam family "Bacterial small subunit ribosomal RNA", at positions 53 to 517 of the family's 1533-position model. Lineage: Bacteria; Bacillati; Bacillota; Bacilli; Caryophanales; Staphylococcaceae. The record is from RNAcentral.